AUUGAGAACACUGCCUCCAAUAAGACAAAACUAAAUAAGCCAAAUGGUGGAAUUUCAAGGCCUAUACACCGUGUCUGGGUUUCACGGGUGUUCAAAACAAGGUACAGUGUAAUGCAGGGAACUUGAAAAGCAGAGCGUUUGACCUCAGCAUCCUGAAAUCAGGUGUGAGAAGAAGAAAACAAGACACCUUGUAAUUAAGACAGAUCCAAGACCAGAUUAAUAAUAAAUAUGGCAGGAAACAUUGGGAAGUGUCACCCUAGAGGCCGAACCAUGGAUUUUAAUAUGUAUCCUUUCAAUUAGCCAUUGACUCUGUGGACAUCCUUUCAUACUUAAUGGAAGCAGCCUAUGUUAAAAUUCAAAUAAAAUCUCAAAUUUAAAAUCA
Molecule: long non-coding RNA, 382 nt
Organism: Homo sapiens (human)
Lineage: Eukaryota; Metazoa; Chordata; Mammalia; Primates; Hominidae
Exons: 2
Source: RefSeq, a predicted model, not a curated record